RNAcentral lists this ribosomal RNA (468 nucleotides) under uncultured bacterium. Its description in RNAcentral is "partial 16S ribosomal RNA". It matches the Rfam family "Bacterial small subunit ribosomal RNA", at positions 28 to 507 of the family's 1533-position model. The record is from RNAcentral.
GACGAACGCUGGCGGCGUGCUUAACACAUGCAAGUCGAACGGAAAGGCCCUGCUUUUGUGGGGUGCUCGAGUGGCGAACGGGUGAGUAACACGUGAGUAACCUGCCCUUGACUUUGGGAUAACUUCAGGAAACUGGGGCUAAUACCGGAUAGGAGCUCAUGCUGCAUGGUGGGGGUUGGAAAGUUUCGGCGGUUGGGGAUGGACUCGCGGCUGAUCAGCUUGUUGGUGGGGUAGUGGCUUACCAAGGCUUUGACGGGUAGCCGGCCUGAGAGGGUGACCGGCCACAUUGGGACUGGGAUACGGCCCAGACUCCUACGGGAGGCAGCGGUGGGGAAUAUUGCACAAUGGGCGGAAGCCUGAUGCGGCAACGCCGCGUGCGGGAUGACGGCCUGCGGGUUGUAAACCGCUUUCGCCUGUGACGAAGCGUGAGUGACGGUAAUGGGUAAAGAAGCACCGGCUAACUACGUG